Capsicum annuum is the source of this 106-nucleotide non-coding RNA. The record is from Rfam. Lineage: Eukaryota; Viridiplantae; Streptophyta; Magnoliopsida; Solanales; Solanaceae.
ACCUCGUGGUUGGGACAUUGCAUAAGCUUUACAUUAAAUCUCUCUCAUACCUCAUAUAGAGAUUCUCCAUUAAAUUGAUGAAAAUUGGUAAUUUUAUCACGCAAUU